UUCUCCUUCGCCAACCCGCACAUGCGCACCUUCCACCUCUCAUGGAUCUCCUUCUUCACCUGCUUCGUCUCCACCUUCGCCGCGGCGCCGCUGGUCCCCAUCAUCCGCGACAACCUCAACCUCACCAAGGCCGACAUCGGCAACGCCGGCGUGGCCUCCGUCUCCGGCUCCAUCUUCUCCCGUCUCGCCAUGGGUGCCGUGUGUGACCUCCUCGGCCCGCGCUACGGCUGCGCGUUCCUCAUCAUGCUCGCCGCGCCCACUGUCUUUUGCAUGGCCAUCAUCGACGACGCCGCAGGCUACAUCGUCGUCAGGUUCCUAAUCGGCUUCUCUCUAGCGACGUUCGUGUCGUGCCAGUACUGGAUGAGCACCAUGUUCAAUAGCAAGAUCAUCGGUACCGUCAAUGGGUUGGCCGCCGGCUGGGGAAACAUGGGCGGCGGCGCCACGCAGCUCAUCAUGCCACUCGUCUAUGACAUCAUCCGCAAGUGCGGCGCCACACCCUUCACGGCGUGGCGUCUCGCCUACUUCGUGCCUGGGUCACUGCACAUCGUGAUGGGAAUCCUUGUGCUCACCAUGGGGCAAGACCUCCCCGAUGGCAACCUCCGUAGCCUCCAGAAGAAGGGCGAUGCCAACAAGGACAAGUUCUCCAAGGUUAUGUGGUACGCUAUCACCAACUACCGGACAUGGAUCUUCGUCCUGCUCUACGGCUACUGCAUGGGCGUCGAGCUCACCACCGACAACGUCAUCGCUGAGUACUACUUCGACCACUUCAACCUGGACCUUCGAGUUGCCGGCAUCAUCGCCGCCUGCUUCGGCAUGGCUAACAUCGUGGCAAGGCCCCUGGGCGGGAUCCUCUCCGAUGUUGGUGCGCGCUACUGGGGCAUGCGUGCCCGCCUUUGGAACAUCUGGAUCCUCCAGACCGCAGGCGGCGCCUUCUGCCUUUGGCUUGGCCGCGCUACCACACUCCCUGCCUCAAUCACCGCCAUGGUUCUCUUCUCAUUCUGCGCUCAGGCCGCCUGUGGCGCCAUUUUUGGUGUCACCCCUUUCAUCUCCCGCCGCUCCCUUGGCAUCAUCUCCGGCAUGACCGGCGCCGGCGGCAACUUCGGUGCCGGACUGACCCAGCUGCUUUUCUUCACCUCAUCCAAGUACUCCACGGGCAUGGGCCUGGAGUACAUGGGCAUCAUGAUCAUGGCGUGCACGCUGCCCGUGGUGUUCGUGCACUUCCCCCAGUGGGGAUCCAUGCUCUUCCCGGCCAAAGCCGGCGCCGUUGAGGAGCACUACUACAGCUCCGAGUGGAACGAGGAGGAGAAGAGCAAGGGGCUCCACAGUGCCAGCCUCAAGUUUGCCGAGAACUGCCGCUCUGAGCGUGGCAAGCGCAACGUCAUCCAGGCCACCUCCAGCACGCAGCCUAACAACACGCCAGAGCACGUCUGAGAGAAACUCCUGCUGUUUGUGUUUGUGCGUAUGUUCCUACUCUG
This 1475-nucleotide long non-coding RNA is filed under the name Setaria viridis. RNAcentral describes it as "long non-coding RNA (SVIR_LNC000206)". Lineage: Eukaryota; Viridiplantae; Streptophyta; Magnoliopsida; Poales; Poaceae. The record is from RNAcentral.